UGAGCAAUCUGCCCUUCACAUCGGAAUAACCAUUGGAAACGAUGGCUAAUACCGAAUAUGACUUCGGAUCGCAUGAUCUGAAGUGGAAAGCUCCGGCGGUGAAGGAUGAGCUCGCGGCCUAUCAGCUUGUUGGUGAGGUAAUAGCUCACCAAGGCGAUGACGGGUAGCCGGCCUGAGGAGGGUGACCGGCCACACUGGGACUGAGACACCGGCA
RNAcentral lists this ribosomal RNA (214 nucleotides) under uncultured bacterium. RNAcentral's name for it is "partial 16S ribosomal RNA". It matches the Rfam family "Bacterial small subunit ribosomal RNA", at positions 118 to 332 of the family's 1533-position model. The record is from RNAcentral.